RNAcentral lists this ribosomal RNA (425 nucleotides) under uncultured bacterium. Its description in RNAcentral is "partial 16S ribosomal RNA". It matches the Rfam family "Bacterial small subunit ribosomal RNA", at positions 354 to 796 of the family's 1533-position model. The record is from RNAcentral.
GUUAGGAAUAUUGGACAAUGGGCGCAAGCCUGAUCCAGCCAGGCCGCGUGAGUGAUGAAGGCCUUCGGGUUGUAAAGCUCUUUAGCCGAUGAUUAUAAUGACUGUAGUCGGAAAAUAAGCCCCGGCUAACUUCGUGCCAGCAGCCGCGGUAAUACGAAGGGGGCGAGCGUUAUUCGGAAUCACUGGGCGUAAAGCGUGCGUAGGCGGCUUUGCAAGUUGGGAGUGAAAGCCCAGGGCUCAACCCUGGAAUUGCUCUCAAAACUGCAAGGCUCGAAUUCGGGAGAGGAUAGCGGAAUUGUCAGUGUAGCAGUGAAAUGCGUAGAUAUUGACAGGAACACCAGUGGCGUAAGCGGCUAUCUGGACCGAUAUUGACGCUGAGGCACGAAAGCGUGGGGAUCAAACAGGAUUAGAAACCCGAGUAGUCC